Molecule: ribosomal RNA, 207 nt
Filed under: uncultured bacterium
Lineage: Bacteria
Description: partial 16S ribosomal RNA
Rfam family: Bacterial small subunit ribosomal RNA
Source: RNAcentral
CGGGCAGGCGGUCGUUCAAGUGGGGUGUGAAAGCUCCCGGCUUAACCGGGAGAGGCCAUUCCGGACUGAACGACUGGAGGGCAGUAGAGGUGCGUGGAAUUCCGGGUGGAGUGGUGAAAUGCGUAGAGAUCCGGAGGAACACCAGAGGCGAAGGCGGCGCACCGGGCUGCACCUGACGCUGAACCGCGAAAGCCAGGGGAGCGAACG